RNAcentral lists this ribosomal RNA (269 nucleotides) under uncultured prokaryote. Its description in RNAcentral is "partial 16S ribosomal RNA". It matches the Rfam family "Bacterial small subunit ribosomal RNA", at positions 524 to 792 of the family's 1533-position model. The record is from RNAcentral.
GACGAAGGUGGCGAGCGUUGUUCGGUGUUACUGGGCUUAAAGCGUGUGUAGGCGGAAAGGAAAGCGUCUUGUGAAAUCCCUCGGCUUAACCGAGGAAUUGCUUGGCGAACUGCUUUUCUUGAGGCAGGCAGGGGCCAGUGGAACUCUUGGUGGAGCGGUGGAAUGCGUAGAUAUCAAGAGGAACGCCAGCGGUGAAAACGGCUGGCUGGGCCUGCCCUGACGCUCAGACACGAAAGCGUGGGGAGCAAACGGGAUUAGAUACCCCCGUA